CCUACGGGAGGCAGCAGUGGGGAAUAUUGGGCAAUGGAGGAAACUCUGACCCAGCGACGCCGCGUGCGGGAUGAAGGCCUUCGGGUUGUAAACCGCUUUCAGCAGGGAAGAAGCGAAAGUGACGGUACCUGCAGAAGAAGCACCGGCUAACUAUGUGCCAGCAGCCGCGGUAAUACAUAGGGUGCAAGCGUUGUCCGGAAUUAUUGGGCGUAAAGAGCUCGUAGGUGGUUCGUCACGUCGGAUGUGAAAAUCUGGGGCUUAACCCCAGACCUGCAUUCGAUACGGGCGAGCUUGAGUAUGGUAGGGGAGUCUGGAAUUCCUGGUGUAGCGGUGGAAUGCGCAGAUAUCAGGAGGAACACCAAUGGCGAAGGCAGGACUCUGGGCCAUUACUGACACUGAGGAGCGAAAGCGUGGGGAGCGAACAGGAUUAGAUACCCUGGUAGUCCACGCCGUAAACGGUGGGCACUAGUUGUGGGGACCUUCCACGGUCUCUGCGACGCAGCUAACGCAUUAAGUGCCCCGCCUGGGGAGUACGAUCGCAAGAUUAAAACUUAAAUGAAUUGACGG
Molecule: ribosomal RNA, 567 nt
Filed under: uncultured bacterium
Lineage: Bacteria
Description: bacterial SSU rRNA
Rfam family: Bacterial small subunit ribosomal RNA
Source: RNAcentral